AUGUCUAGUAUAAGCAUUAUACCGUGAAACUGCGAAUGGCUCAUUAAAUCAGUUAUCGUUUAUUUGAUAAUACCUUACUACUUGGAUAACCGUGGUAAUUCUAGAGCUAAUACAUGCUGAAAAUCCCGACUUCGGAAGGGAUGUGUUUAUUAGAUAAAAAACCAAUGCCCUUCGGGGCUUUUUGGUGAUUCAUGAUAACUUUACGGAUCGCAUAGCCUUGCGCUGGCGACGGUUCAUUCAAAUUUCUGCCCUAUCAACUUUCGAUGGUAAGGUAUUGGCUUACCAUGGUUUCAACGGGUAACGGGGAAUUAGGGUUCGAUUCCGGAGAGGGAGCCUGAGAAACGGCUACCACAUCCAAGGAAGGCAGCAGGCGCGCAAAUUACCCAAUCCCGACACGGGGAGGUAGUGACAAUAAAUACUGAUACAGGGCUCUUUUGGGUCUUGUAAUUGGAAUGAGUACAAUUUAAACCUCUUAACGAGGAACAAUUGGAGGGCAAGUCUGGUGCCAGCAGCCGCGGUAAUUCCAGCUCCAAUAGCGUAUAUUAAAGUUGUUGCAGUUAAAAAGCUCGUAGUUGAAACUUGGGUCUGGCUGGCGGGUCCGCCUCACCGCGUGCACUCGUCCGGCCGGGCCUUCCUUCUGAAGAACCUCAUGCCCUUCACUGGGCGUGUUGGGGAAUCAGGACUUUUACUUUGAAAAAAUUAGAGUGUUCAAAGCAGGCCUUUGCUCGAAUACGUUAGCAUGGAAUAAUAAAAUAGGGCGUGCGUUUCUAUUUUGUUGGUUUCUAGAGACGCCGCAAUGAUUAACAGGAACAGUCGGGGGCAUCAGUAUUCAGUUGUCAGAGGUGAAAUUCUUGGAUUUACUGAAGACUA
This 870-nucleotide ribosomal RNA is filed under the name Curvularia pallescens. RNAcentral's name for it is "SSU rRNA". It matches the Rfam family "Eukaryotic small subunit ribosomal RNA", at positions 55 to 938 of the family's 1831-position model. The record is from RNAcentral. Lineage: Eukaryota; Fungi; Ascomycota; Dothideomycetes; Pleosporales; Pleosporaceae.